AAUCAACGCUGGCGGCGUGCCUAACACAUGCAAGUCGCGCGCGAAAAGGGGGGCAACCCCCGAGUAAAGCGGCGAGCGGGUGAGUAACACGUGGGUAAUCUACCUUCGAGUGGGGAACAACAUCGGGAAACUGGUGCUAAUUCCGCAUGACAUCGUCGGGGCUUCGGUUCCGACGCUCAAAGCUGGGGAUCGUAAGACCUAGCGCUUGAAGAUGAGCCCGCGUCCGAUUAGCUAGUGGCGGGGUAAUAGCCCACCAAGGCUCCGAUCGGUAGCCGGCCUGAGAGGGCGGACGGCCACACUGGAACUGAGACACGGUCCAGACUCCUACGGGAGGCAGCAGUGGGGAAUUUUUCGCAAUGGGGGCAACCCUGACGAAGCAACGCCGCGUGGGGAUGAAGGUCUUCGGAUUGUAAACCCCUGUCGACCGGGACGAAUGUAGAACGGCCUAAUACGCCGAGCUAUUGACUGUACCGGUGGA
This 478-nucleotide ribosomal RNA is filed under the name uncultured bacterium. RNAcentral describes it as "bacterial SSU rRNA". It matches the Rfam family "Bacterial small subunit ribosomal RNA", at positions 32 to 485 of the family's 1533-position model. The record is from RNAcentral.